AGGGAUUUAGCUCAGUGUCACAGCUCCUGCCUGGCAAGCAUGAGGUCCUGAGUUCGAUCCCCAGGACCCUC
RNAcentral lists this transfer RNA (71 nucleotides) under Fukomys damarensis (Damara mole-rat). It matches the Rfam family "tRNA". From Rfam's summary of the family: Transfer RNA (tRNA) molecules are approximately 80 nucleotides in length. Their secondary structure includes four short double-helical elements and three loops (D, anti-codon, and T loops). Lineage: Eukaryota; Metazoa; Chordata; Mammalia; Rodentia; Bathyergidae. The record is from Rfam by way of RNAcentral.